GCAUAUCCAAUAAGCGGAGGAAAAGAAACCAACAGGGAUUGCCCUAGUAACGGCGAAGUGAAGCGGCAACAGCUCAAAUUUGAAAUCUGGCCCCCGGGUCCGAGUUGUAAUUUGUAGAGGAUGCUUUUGGUGCGGUACCUUCCGAGUUCCCUGGAACGGGACGCCAUAGAGGGUGAGAGCCCCGUCUGGUUGGACGCCAAUCCUUUGUAAAGCUCCUUCGACGAGUCGAGUAGUUUGGGAAUGCUGCUCUAAAUGGGAGGUAUAUGUCUUCUAAAGCUAAAUAUUGGCCAGAGACCGAUAGCGCACAAGUAGAGUGAUCGAAAGAUGAAAAGCACUUUGAAAAGAGAGUUAAAAAGUACGUGAAAUUGUUGAAAGGGAAGCGCUCAUGACCAGACUUGGGCCCGGUUGAUCAUCCAGGGUUCUCCCUGGUGCACUCUUCCGGCCCAGGCCAGCAUCAGUUCGCUGUGGGGGAUAAAGGCUUCGGGAAUGUGGCUCCUCCGGGAGUGUUAUAGCCCGCUGCGUAAUACCCUGUGGCGGACUGAGGUUCGCGCAUCUGCAAGGAUGCUGGCGUAAUGGUCAUCAGCGACCCGUCUUGAAACACGGACCAAGGAGUCGUCUUCGUAUGCGAGUGUUCGGGUGUCAAACCCCUACGCGGAAUGAAAGUGAACGCAGGUGAGAGCUUCGGCGCAUCAUCGACCGAUCCUGAUGUUCUCGGAUGGAUUUGAGUAAGAGCAUACGGGGCCGGACCCGAAAGAAGGUGAACUAUGCCUGUAUAGGGUGAAGCCAGAGGAAACUCUGGUGGAGGCUCGCAGCGGUUCUGACGUGCAAAUCGAUCGUCAAAUAUGGGCAUGGGGGCGAAAGACUAAUCGAACCUUCUAGUAGCUGGUUUCCGCCGAA
RNAcentral lists this ribosomal RNA (897 nucleotides) under Corinectria fuckeliana. Its description in RNAcentral is "LSU rRNA". It matches the Rfam family "Eukaryotic large subunit ribosomal RNA", at positions 38 to 965 of the family's 3401-position model. Lineage: Eukaryota; Fungi; Ascomycota; Sordariomycetes; Hypocreales; Nectriaceae. The record is from RNAcentral.